AGAGUUUGAUCCUGGCUCAGGACGAACGCUGGCGGCGUGCCUAAUACAUGCAAGUAGAACGCUGAAGAGAGGAGCUUGCUCUUCUUGGAUGAGUUGCGAACGGGUGAGUAACGCGUAGGUAACCUGCCUUGUAGCGGGGGAUAACUAUUGGAAACGAUAGCUAAUACCGCAUAACAAUGGAUGACACAUGUCAUUUAUUUGAAAGGGGCAAUUGUUCCUCUACAAGAUGGACCUGCGUUGUAUUAGCUAGUAGGUGAGGUAAUGGCUCACCUAGGCGACGAUACAUAGCCGACCUGAGAGGGUGAUCGGCCACACUGGGACUGAGACACGGCCCAGACUCCUACGGGAGGCAGCAGUAGGGAAUCUUCGGCAAUGGGGGCAACCCUGACCGAGCAACGCCGCGUGAGUGAAGAAGGUUUUCGGAUCGUAAAGCUCUGUUGUAAGUCAAGAACGGGUGUGAGAGUGGAAAGUUCACACUGUGACGGUAGCUUACCAGAAAGGGACGGCUAACUACGUGCCAGCAGCCGCGGUAAUACGUAGGUCCCGAGCGUUGUCCGGAUUUAUUGGGCGUAAAGCGAGCGCAGGCGGUUUGAUAAGUCUGAAGUUAAAGGCUGUGGCUCAACCAUAGUUCGCUUUGGAAACUGUCAAACUUGAGUGCAGAAGGGGAGAGUGGAAUUCCAUGUGUAGCGGUGAAAUGCGUAGAUAUAUGGAGGAACACCGGUGGCGAAAGCGGCUCUCUGGUCUGUAACUGACGCUGAGGCUCGAAAGCGUGGGGAGCGAACAGGAUUAGAUACCCUGGUAGUCCACGCCGUAAACGAUGAGUGCUAGGUGUUGGAUCCUUUCCGGGAUUCAGUGCCGCAGCUAACGCAUUAAGCACUCCGCCUGGGGAGUACGACCGCAAGGUUGAAACUCAAAGGAAUUGACGGGGGCCCGCACAAGCGGUGGAGCAUGAGGUUUAAUUCGAAGCAACGCGAAGAACCUUACCAGGUCUUGACAUCCCGAUGCUAUUUCUAGAGAUAGAAAGUUACUUCGGUACAUCGGUGACAGGUGGUGCAUGGUUGUCGUCAGCUCGUGUCGUGAGAUGUUGGGUUAAGUCCCGCAACGAGCGCAACCCCUAUUGUUAGUUGCCAUCAUUCAGUUGGGCACUCUAGCGAGACUGCCGGUAAUAAACCGGAGGAAGGUGGGGAUGACGUCAAAUCAUCAUGCCCCUUAUGACCUGGGCUACACACGUGCUACAAUGGUUGGUACAACGAGUUGCGAGUCGGUGACGGCGAGCUAAUCUCUUAAAGCCAAUCUCAGUUCGGAUUGUAGGCUGCAACUCGCCUACAUGAAGUCGGAAUCGCUAGUAAUCGCGGAUCAGCACGCCGCGGUGAAUACGUUCCCGGGCCUUGUACACACCGCCCGUCACACCACGAGAGUUUGUAACACCCGAAGUCGGUGAGGUAACCUUUUGGAGCCAGCCGCCUAAGGUGGGACAGAUGAUUGGGGUGAAGUCGUAACAAGGUA
Molecule: ribosomal RNA, 1506 nt
Filed under: metagenome
Description: bacterial SSU rRNA
Rfam family: Bacterial small subunit ribosomal RNA
Source: RNAcentral